Molecule: ribosomal RNA, 1122 nt
Filed under: Triticum aestivum (bread wheat)
Lineage: Eukaryota; Viridiplantae; Streptophyta; Magnoliopsida; Poales; Poaceae
Description: partial small subunit ribosomal RNA
Source: RNAcentral
AUGCCGAGGAAAGAGCGACGGUCAGGUGUGGCAUACAUCCACAAUGACAAAGAACGUGAUCUCACCUUCUACAAGCGACGUUCCGGUUUGUUCAAGAGGGCGACUGACAUCUCUGCCCUCACUAGGGCUAGGGUUGCGGUCGUCCUAGAAACAAACAAUGGAAAGAUGCACUCAUUUGGGACACCAUUGGCCGAUCCCAUUGUUGAUGCUUUCCUAUUUGGAGCUCCACUAGCAGUUCCCUUCGCCGACGAGGCAACCACUGCUAGGAUUGGAAGCCUACAAAAUGAGGUGGCUCAGUUGGACAUGGAGAACAUGACCGAGGAAGACAAAAACAAACUUUCCAUCCUUCGUAUGAAAAAUAUACAAGAAGAGAACCCAGGUAUGGUGGCAAAUCUUAUCUUCACGAAGGAAAAAGAUCUCAGUCUUGAAGAUUUGAACAAGCUCUUCAGUGAGCUCUCUCGAGUACUAAAAGACAUUAGAUUCCGGCUACCUCCGUUGCAUGGUCGUGAAGACAAGACCGGCAGCACAUCUGUGGCACAAGAUCUGCAACUACCAAGUGUUUUGCCGGCGGAUCAUUUGGGUACUACUCAUUCACUUAUGCAGUCAUCGUGGCCUCACAAUCUCUCACAACUCCAGAUACCUUCAGAUCCACUACCAUCACAACCAGAACAAACUUCGGCACCACUUUUUCCUAUGCAGGCACCACAAAUGUUACAUUCCGCACCACCAUCUUUAGCUCCACAUUUGGCUUCCCAUGUCCAACCCAUACCAAAUCAGGUACAUGAGCAAACUCCACCAGAGGAUUUGCAUGUUCAGAACUAUGAAAGUCCUUGCAACAUAGUGCAACCACAACAAAAUGAUGCAAACCAUGACUCAACAUCUGGGCAGAAUUUGGAGGCCUCUCCACUAUUGGGGUACUCGAGUGGCAAUGCUUUUUCUAUUGAUGACCCAUUUAACACUGAACAAUGGGGUUAUGCUCUAUCAGAUCAGUCGUAUUACAAUAGUUUCCUAGGAAUGGAUGCUUACUUAGGCUCUAGCGGUACGGAUCUAGGACAGUCUUCCAUGGUAAAUGGUGGAUGGGUUGAUGUGCCGCCCUCUUCCACUGGACAAGAUAUUGAUAUU